Molecule: ribosomal RNA, 265 nt
Filed under: uncultured bacterium
Lineage: Bacteria
Description: partial 16S ribosomal RNA
Rfam family: Bacterial small subunit ribosomal RNA
Source: RNAcentral
GUCCACGCUGUAAACGAUGGGCACUAGGUGUCGCGGGUAUUGACCCCUGCGGUGCCGCAGCUAACGCAUUAAGUGCCCCGCCUGGGGACUACGGCCGCAAGGUUAAAACUCAAAGGAAUUGACGGGGGCCCGCACAAGCGGUGGAGCAUGUGGUUCAAUUCGACGCAACGCGAAGAACCUUACCCGGGCUAGACAACAGAGGGCCGCCCUAGAAAUAGGGCUUUCCCUUCGGGGACCUCUGGUUCAGGUGCUGCAUGGCUGUCGU